This 543-nucleotide ribosomal RNA is filed under the name uncultured bacterium. Its description in RNAcentral is "bacterial LSU rRNA". It matches the Rfam family "Bacterial large subunit ribosomal RNA", at positions 236 to 826 of the family's 2925-position model. The record is from RNAcentral.
UCCGCUAGUAGUGGCGAGCGAACGCGGACCAGGCCAGUCAUCAAUGUGAGACAAUUGGAAUCUGUCAGGAAAGCAGAGCCUUAGAGGGUGAUAGCCCCGUACAAGUAAUGCGAACAUUGAUGCUCGAGUAAGGCGGGACACGUGAAAUCCUGUCUGAACAUGGGGGGACCACCCUCCAAGCCUAAGUACUCCUCAGCGACCGAUAGUGAACCAGUACCGUGAGGGAAAGGUGAAAAGCACCCCGACGAGGGGAGUGAAAUAGACCUGAAACCGAACACCUACAAACAGACGGAGCCCAAGAUUUGUUCUGGGUGACGUCGUACCUUUUGUAUUAUGGGCCAGCGACUUAAUUUAACGAGCAAGCUUAAGCCGAUAGGCGUAGGCGUAGCGAAAGCGAGUCUUAAUAGGGCGUCAAGUUCGUUGUAUUAGACCCGAAACCUAGUGAUCUAGCCAUGAGCAGGUUGAAGGUGAGGUAACACUCACUGGAGGACCGAACGGGUGUCUGUUGAAAAAGACUCCGAUGACUUGUGGUUAGGGGUGAAA